RNAcentral lists this ribosomal RNA (473 nucleotides) under Veillonella dispar. RNAcentral's name for it is "bacterial SSU rRNA". It matches the Rfam family "Bacterial small subunit ribosomal RNA", at positions 28 to 477 of the family's 1533-position model. Lineage: Bacteria; Bacillati; Bacillota; Negativicutes; Veillonellales; Veillonellaceae. The record is from RNAcentral.
GACGAACGCUGGCGGCGUGCUUAACACAUGCAAGUCGAACGAAGAGCGAUGGAAGCUUGCUUCUAUCAAUCUUAGUGGCGAACGGGUGAGUAACGCGUAAUCAACCUGCCCUUCAGAGGGGGACAACAGUUGGAAACGACUGCUAAUACCGCAUACGAUCUAACCUCGGCAUCGAGGAUAGAUGAAAGGUGGCCUCUAUUUAUAAGCUAUCACUGAAGGAGGGGAUUGCGUCUGAUUAGCUAGUUGGAGGGGUAACGGCCCACCAAGGCGAUGAUCAGUAGCCGGUCUGAGAGGAUGAACGGCCACAUUGGGACUGAGACACGGCCCAGACUCCUACGGGAGGCAGCAGUGGGGAAUCUUCCGCAAUGGACGAAAGUCUGACGGAGCAACGCCGCGUGAGUGAUGACGGCCUUCGGGUUGUAAAGCUCUGUUAAUCGGGACGAAAGGCCUUCUUGCGAAUAGUUAGAAAGGAA